UACGUAGGGUGCAAGCGUUGUCCGGAAUUAUUGGGCGUAAAGAGCUCGUAGGCGGUCUGUCGCGUCGGCUGUGAAAACUCGGGGCUCAACUCCGAGCUUGCAGUCGAUACGGGCAGGCUAGAGUUCGGCAGGGGAGACUGGAAUUCCUGGUGUAGCGGUGAAAUGCGUAGAUAUUGGGAGGAACACCAGUGGCGAAGGCGGCUCGCUGGACCGGUUCUGACGCUGAGGCGCGAAAGCGUGGGGAGCAAACGGG
RNAcentral lists this ribosomal RNA (253 nucleotides) under uncultured bacterium. RNAcentral's name for it is "partial 16S ribosomal RNA". It matches the Rfam family "Bacterial small subunit ribosomal RNA", at positions 524 to 776 of the family's 1533-position model. The record is from RNAcentral.